Molecule: transfer RNA, 82 nt
Filed under: Ipomoea nil (Japanese morning glory)
Lineage: Eukaryota; Viridiplantae; Streptophyta; Magnoliopsida; Solanales; Convolvulaceae
Rfam family: tRNA
About the family: Transfer RNA (tRNA) molecules are approximately 80 nucleotides in length. Their secondary structure includes four short double-helical elements and three loops (D, anti-codon, and T loops). Further hydrogen bonds mediate the characteristic L-shaped molecular structure. tRNAs have two regions of fundamental functional importance: the anti-codon, which is responsible for specific mRNA codon recognition, and the 3' end, to which the tRNAs corresponding amino acid is attached (by aminoacyl-tRNA synthetases). tRNAs cope with the degeneracy of the genetic code in two manners: having more than one tRNA (with a specific anti-codon) for a particular amino acid; and 'wobble' base-pairing, i.e. permitting non-standard base-pairing at the 3rd anti-codon position.
Source: Rfam by way of RNAcentral
GUGGGCGUGCCAGAGUGGUUAACGGGCAUGACUAGAAAUCAUGUGGGCUUUGCUCGUGUAGGUUUGAAUCCUGCCGCUCACG